RNAcentral lists this long non-coding RNA (6928 nucleotides) under Capsicum annuum. Its description in RNAcentral is "long non-coding RNA (CANN_LNC000495)". Lineage: Eukaryota; Viridiplantae; Streptophyta; Magnoliopsida; Solanales; Solanaceae. The record is from RNAcentral.
CUCCAUCUCCAGGCUGCCAUGGGUCAUCUUAUUUGUUCUUGUCCAUCUUUCGGGCAAUGAAACAUUCUUUAUUUACUUUAUUUUUGGGUAUCACUUUAGAUAUGAUCUUUGUUAGUAGUUCUUGUACGAUGACUUUCGGGUCUUGGAAAUUUUAGUAAGUAGUUUGUUUGACUUCCGCAUUAAUAAUAAUUAGUCAUGAAUUAUUGUUAUUAUGUUGAAUUUAUAUUAAUAUUACCUUAAUAUUGACUAAGUGAUUGGGUAAUGAUUUGAUUUAGAUGGUUCUCCUACAGGAAGAUUAGUGUGGGUGCCAUUCGUGGCCAUUUGGGUCGUGACAAAGUUGGUAUCAGAGUUCUAGGUUCAUCGAUCUCAUCGUACAAAAAUAUUUCUAGUAGAGUCUUACAGAAUUACAGAAUAGCACAGAGACGUCUGUAAUUUUUUUCGAGAGGCUAUAGGACACUAGGAAAAUUCAAAUUCUUCUUUCUGACGUGCUAUUUCUUGAAUUCAAUUGGUAUUUGGCGAUUUCAAUUGGUAUCUGUUAAUAAGAGCAGUGUUAAGUAGAGUUCUGUAGAUUGGUGUGUAGAGCCCCACACCCAAUCUUCGUAAGGCUACUAGAUUGAAUUCAAUUGGUAUCUAGACAUCCAAUUGGUAUCUUAAUAAUUUUGAAUAAAAAUCUAGAAGAUUUUAAUUGGUAUUUGUUAAUAAGUUCUAAAAGUUAUUGUUAAUAGGUAAAGAUUUGUGAAAGUUGUGAACUUAUUGAUUUCUUGUGUUUGAUAUUUGGCUAAACUUUUAUUGCUAGAUUUUUGUCAUUGUUGUGAAUUAUUUUUGUUAAGUGAUGAAAAUUGACUAAGUUAUUUUUGUUGAUAAAUGUGAUGGAUUAUUUGAUUUCUUGUUAUUGUGAAACUAGAAAUUCUAUAGUGCUUACUUAUUUUUGUUACUAUUAUACUGAUAAGAUUGAUGGUAUGAGAAUUGAGAGGAUGAUAUGAGAAUAUGAUGUCAGAAAAAAAUGGUGAAAAGUGACAUGAAUAAAAGACUAAGGUGAUAUGUAUUUUUCGUAAUGAGAGGUUCUUGUUAAUGAUGUUGUGGAUGGACCCUUGAGUAUUUUGAUUAUUUGAUAUUAUUUAGGGAUCCUUGUGUGGUUCGACCAUUGAGACUGUAUUUAGAAUUUUUGUGCAGUUCUAGUAUUGAAAUUAUAAUGAGUUCCUUGUGUGAACUAGCUAUGUGACAUUAUUUUUGAGUUCCUUCUGUGAACGAAUUCUUAAUGCUUGACAAAAAAAUAAGUUUUAAAUAAAAGUGACCAAAACUAGUAGAGGUUGUUGAUACCUAUAGAAUUUGAUCGAUGACUUGUCUGGAAUGUGAUAUUGGUGAUAAGAUCGUCAAUGACCUAUAACCAAUUUAUUUUGUUUGGCCUUCAUAGCACAUCUUUGGGACACUUCCGCAGAGGUCUCAUCUAUUGAGUCAAUUUCUGUGGUGUGUGAGUUCCAAGAGGUUUUUCCUGAGGAUUUUCCUGGUAUGCUACCAGCUGUGACAUUGGUUUCUAUAUUGAUCAAGAGCUAGGUAAUCGUCCUAUUUCUAUUGCCCUAUACGAUGGCUCCGGCUGAGUUGAGGGAGCUAAAGGCUUAGUUGCAAGAUUUGUUGAGUAAGAGUUUUAUCCAUCCAACUGCCUCUCCAUGUGGUGCUCCUGUCUUGUUUAUGAAAAGAAGGAUAGUAGUCUUUGUAUGUGCAUAGACUAUAGGCAGUUGAACAAGUUACAUUCUGUAAUAAGUAUCCUUUGCCCCGUAUCAAUGAUUUAUUUGAUCAGUUGCAGGGUGCAUCCGUAUUUUUUAAGAUUGAUUUGAACUUCGGGUAUCAUCUGCUUAAGAUUCGGCCUGACUAUAUUCCUAAAACUACUUUUCGAAUAUGGUAUGGGUACUAUGAGUUUCUUGUGAUUAUCGUUCGGGCUGACCAAUGCCCCAAUUGCUUUUAUGAGUUUGAUGAAUGGGAUAUUUAAAUUCUACUAAAAUUCUUUCGUGAUUGUAUUUAUUGAUGAUAUUCUAAUUUAUUUUAAGAGUAAAAAGGAACAUUAGAAUCACUUAGGAUUAUUUUGGAUUUUUUUAGAAGAAGAGAAAAAGUUUGAUGCGAAGUUUUUUAAGUAUGGGUUCUGGUAGGCUUCUGUCUACUUUUCUUCAUAGAUAGUGUGUGAUAUAUGUUGUGUGUGGAUACGAAUAUUAGGCUUGAUUAUGAGUAGGAUGACUUGGCCUUGAUUGUUGAUGUUUGGAGAUUAGACGCGGGCUUGGGACCAGUAAAGUGGCAUGUUUAUACCGCUUUUGAAUCCCAUUGGUUAUCCUCUCUAGUUUAGAUUAGUUGUAGUGUGGUAUGAUAGAAAUCUAUGUUUGGGAUAUGGUUUUAGUAUUUGAAGCAUGAUUUGUAUAUGUAGCCUUAUUGGGCUAGUGUGGUAGCCUUGAACCCAUAAGUUUGGUAGAGUUGACUUGAGUACGCUUGUUUCUAGUCGAAGUUGCUAUCUUAAGCUUGAAUAUGACUUACUUGACAACCAGAAGAUGAACUAGAUACCUUAGUCUAGUUUGGAGCAUAGUGUGCCUAAUUAUGAAAAUUGAGGAUUAGAAGUAGGAUCGUCUGGAUCACUUAGACCUAAACUUGUGUAAAGUCUUGUGGACUUAGUUGCGGAUGCUAGACAUAGAUAAAGCUAGUAAACCUUAGAAUAAGGUUACUUCGUAACUUGGUAACUUGUAUUGAUGUUUUCAGAUUGUGGCUUUUGAGUUAUAGUUAUAAUACUUCUUGUAGAAGUGAUCUUGGGCAUUUAAAGAUGAUAUUGCUCCUAUAUACGUUAAGUGGCCUAUAGAGAUGCUAUUUCCUCUUAGAUAUGCAAAUUUUCCUAGAGAUGUGAUAUUCCUCCUAGUUAUGAUGUAUGAACUAUCGAUAUAAGAUAUCCUAUAGAUGAUUACAUGCCUAUCUAUAUUUUGUCUCCUAUAUGUGAGAUGAUUAGAGAUAUGCUACGACUUAUAAAUAUGAUUAUCGAUAUGAGUUUCGGAUAUGUAUAUGGGCCUAAGGCCGUGAUUAUGAUGUUGUGACUAUUCAGGAUAAAUUAAUGAGUCAAGAGCUGUGUUAUGAUAAUGAUUGAAUAUCCGAGAAGUGUUUAUCAGUGUAAAGGAUACGAUUACAGUUUAUAAAUAUGUAUAUGUUUGUAUACACAUCUCUCUGGUAUGGGACGGAGGAAGAUGCGGCAUGUUGCUUACGACUUUAUUGAUUGGAUACUGGUGAUGGCUAGGAAUCUAAUGUAUUAGUUAACGAAUCUUGCUUAGUUUAAACGUGAUAGAUAACGAUGGUUAAUGCGUGACCUAUGGUGAGGUAGGGUCUAGUAUAGGUGAAGAUUAGUUUGUAUUACUGACUAUGUUUGUGAUGUCGAUUAGUCGAUAAAUGAGGAAUUGUGUGUUAAUGAGGCUAGAUAACAAGAGAUGUUGGUCAUAAGAGGUGACUAGUUAAUAACUAUUAAUAGUUGCUAAAUGGUUAACUAAUAAAUAGUUAAGCAAGGAUUAGUUAAUAAAUGAUGGUUAUAUAAUGCAUGGUGUCUAUAUCUAAAAGAUGGUUAGGUGAUAAGUAGUAAUGUAUUAUUUAGUAAUGAUUAACGGAUAUAGGAUUAUUAGUUGAUAAUAAUGAAUGGUGGAUAAAUGACAGUUUUGGUCUAGUGAUGAACCUUGACUAGAUGUUAGAUGUUGUCUAUAAAUAGUGGUUAGUUGCUAUUCUAGAAAUAAGGAUUAUGUUUAGGCUAAUAACUAGAGGUUAUGUGAUUAUUAGUGAACUACUGAUUUUAUUAUAAUAAGUGCUAGUUGGCUAAUAAUGAGUAAUUGGGAAGUAUUGACUAGAUAGGUAUUCUAUGGUGAUGACUAUUUUUUUUUGUAUGAGUAUCUUUGUGUGAUGAUAUUGAUACCCGGUAAGGCUAGAGGAUACUAUUGUGAUGAUGUUGAUACCCAGCGAGGCUGGAGAAUAUAUUUAUGAUAUGUUGAUACCCGGUAAGUCUGGAGGAUACUAAUGAUAAUGUGUUGAUAUCCGGCAAGGUCGGAGGUUGAUUACGAUGGUAAUGGUUUGAUGAGGACAGUUAUGAUAAGUUGUGAUAUUGAUUGUGUACUUUGCAUUCAUUCCUGCAUGCGCAUCACUAUCACCAGUAUGCACCUAUAUUUAUCAAUCGGUAAAGGACGGUUGCAUAUAUAUGGGUGAAAAAUAUGCCUUGUGUGGUUGUAUACUAAUUGAACCUUCUGAGUCUGGGCGGUAGGGGUGAGCGUAGGCUCGGCUAGGUAUUUGAUUGUCCAUAAGUUGAGGACUAAGGAGAUUGUGACUGUGAAGGUCCAGUGGAAGAAUCAUCCUAUUAAGGAGGCCACUUGGGAGACCGAAGAAGACAUGAGUAGCAAGUAUCCACAUCUUUUUAUUGAUUUAGGUAAUUUCUUAUUUCCCUUAUUGUCUGUUGUUUUCCCGUUCGGGGACGAACGCUUGUUUAAUUGGUAUCUGAUGUAACGACCCUCCCGGUCAUUUGUGGAAUUUUUUCAUCUUCUCUAUUUUAGCGUUCUCCAUAGUUGGUACAUAAUUUAUGACUUAUGGUAAUGAGUAGUACCAAUUCUUGAGGUGUUUUGGGUAUUUUUAAUAAUUAUUUAAUUAAUGGAUUAAAAUAACAAUUUAUUUACUUAUGUGGCCAACACAAAAAUAAGUUUAAGUGGAAGAGUUUAUUAUAUUAGAGAAUAAUAUCGGAGGUUUCCAACUAGGGCAGAUGAACACAACAGUUAGCAACAAAGCAAUUUUUUUCACCCGCAACUUUAAAUACUAUCUCUCUUGAUUGAGUUUCAGGUAGAGUUGCUUUGUUAAAAUUGAUUUCGUACUUGUCUAUCUAUUGUUACUAGUUACGCGAGGAUGGGUGGAAAAAAAUUAGGCAAGAAACGUUUUCUUUAGUGAGUUAUUAUUACCAUGAGAUUUUAAAUUAUUAAAUGUAUUAACAUUAGAUAGAUCAAGUAAUGGUGUGAUUGGGCCCUAAUGAUGAUGAGAAUGGUAGCCUUAGUUCAUGAAAAGUGGCGUACAAGUGGGUUAAAUAUUAGGUAGUAAACUUCAUUUAAGUAAUGAUUGGAUAAUCAUGUUGAAGGGAGGUUAUAUAUGAUGAUUUUCUUUAUAAUUGAAACACCUGCAAUAUCUUAGUUUGAGGCAUACUGUUAGAUGGAAGGUUAGUUGAAUGAUAUAUGUUGUAGUGUUUGGUAUCUUGUUAAAAGAAUAAGCUUUUCUGCGCUAGUGGUUGCAUGGUUUCCUGAUUCUUAUGCUAUCUCCAUUUUUUUUGAUGAUUUUCAAUUCUUUUGUGAUCUGGUUCUCUUCUUAGGUUGUUAUGUGAGAAUGUACAUAGAUAGUAGCAGCAGAAAGUGAUGCUAAUCUUAUUUAUGUCGUUACUAGUUCCUAAAAAGACGCUAUACGAUUUUGCUUCAGAAAACGCGAGUGUUCCAUAGAAUUUUAUCCUUUGUACUUAUAUUUUAAUAAAUUCAGGUUUUAAAGGCUAGAAAUUUUAGAGUAAGAAUAUUUGGGGAUCGAAUAAUGACCCAUUUAUUUGAAAUUUGACGCACUAAUUUAUACUCUUAUGAAAAUUAUAUAUAUAUAUAUUGAAACAGAUUUUGAACAUUUCAAAACUUUAAGAAAGGGCAGGACGCUUACGAGCUAGCUACAUUCGAAUUCUUCGAUAGAGGUAGAUUACGGUUUAAUUGGAGUUUAGACUCACUUAAUUGUGUGUAUGCUCCUAAAUUGUAUACUUGUGGAUUGGUAUUCGGACAUGCUUGAAAUUGUUGAUGUUUGGAUUGUUGAUUCGUGUAUAAUGUAGAAAAUUGACUUGAUGGAAUUGUCUUAUGACUUUGAGUGUACAUGUAAACUCGGUACAUUGUGUGGCAUGCUGUGAGGUUGUGUAAAUUGAUAUUGAUAAUACUUGGUUAUGUUUAUGUUGGAUCGGGUACCACGCCGGUACAUUUAUAUUUAUGUUGGAUCAGGUACCACGCUGGUACGUUUAUAUUCAUGUUGGAUCGGGUACCUCGCCGUUCGUUUAUAUUUAUAUUGGAUCGGGUACCACGCUGGUACGUUUAUAUUCAUGUUGGAUCGGGUACCAUACCUGUACAUUUAUAUUCAUGUUGGAUCGGGUACCACACUGAUACGUUUAUAUUUAUGUUGGAUUGGGUACCACGCCGGUACAUUUAGAUUUAUGUUGGAUCGGGUACCACGCCGGUACAUUUACAUUUAUGUUGGAUUGGGUACCAAGCUGGUACGGUACAUGAACAUAGAUUGUUCUCUGCAGGUCAUGACUAUUUGGGCAAAAAUAAGUCCCAUAGCAUGUGCGUACAUAUUUGUGUUAUUUUUGUGGAUGUUUAUAGUAUGGUUGAUACUCUUGAUGGUUAUGUGGCUUGUUUGUGAACACUGUUUGACCUGUUGUUGCUGUAUUGCUGAUUCAUUGAAUAUUUGUUGUGUGACGAUGCAUGUCUACUUAUUUUUUGAUUUAUGUUGUGUACAUGUUAUUAAAGUGAGUUGUCCUAUGAUACCUACUAGUACAUAGUGGUUUGUACUGAUACUACCCUUUACUCUUCUUUUGUUGAGUGCAGAAAGUGUUCUAGGCUUAGACAUGACCUUACCUCUAGAGUUUGAUAGCAUAUCUUGAUCCAAGGGUGAGCACUCCGUCUCUAGGCUGUCAUGGGUCAUCUUAUUUGUUCUUGUCCAUCUUUCGGGCAAUGAAACAUUCUUUAUUUACUUUAUUGUUGGAUAUCACUUUAGAUAUGAUCUUUGUUAGUAGUUCUUGUACGAUGACUUUUGGGUCUUGAAAAUUUUAGUAAGUAGUUUGUUUGAUUUUCGCAAUAAUAAUAAUUAUUCUUGGAUUAUUGUUAUUAUGUUGAUUUUAUAAUAAUAUCACCUUAAUAUUGACUAAGUGAUU